Molecule: unclassified non-coding RNA, 332 nt
Filed under: soil metagenome
Description: partial contains 5.8S ribosomal RNA, internal transcribed spacer 2, and large subunit ribosomal RNA
Rfam family: 5.8S ribosomal RNA (bases 1-120)
Source: RNAcentral
GAUGAAGAACGCAGCAAAAUGCGAUAAGUAAUGUGAAUUGCAGAAUUCAGUGAAUCAUCGAAUCUUUGAACGCACAUUGCGCCCGCCAGUAUUCUGGCGGGCAUGCCUGUUCGAGCGUCAUUUCAACCCUCAAGCACAGCUUGGUGUUGGGACUCGCGUUAAUUCGCGUUCCCCAAAUUGAUUGGCGGUCACGUCGAGCUUCCAUAGCGUAGUAGUAAAACCCUCGUUACUGGUAAUCGUCGCGGCCACGCCGUUAAACCCCCACUUCUGAAUGUUGACCUCGGAUCUGGUAGGAAUACCCGCUGAACUUAAGCAUAUCAAUAAGCGGAGGA